AUGCCCUCUUGCUCUUCCAUGUUCAUAUCAUCUUGGAUUGCUGCCUGUUCUGAAGUUGGUGCAAUGGAGCUUGGAGCUCCACCUGCUAGACCUGGAGCCUGUUCAGGACCUGAAGUCAGCGGCGAUCUGCAGUACCUGGAGGUGGAGCUAGCGAGGCCCUGGGAGGGUGGCGGCAAUCUGCAGCAGGGCGCCGGCCUUGGGAUGACGAGGUGGGGGAUCUGCUGGCCCAGGAAGAUGGGGAGGAUGGAAGGGGAUCUGUUGGGCGAGAUGGGAGGCGAUGGAGGUGGAGGUGGAGGAUCUGGAGGUGGGGGGCAACGGAGGCGGGGGCGAUGGAGGUGGAGGAUCCAGAGGUGGGGGGCGACGGAGGCGGGCGGAUCUGGAAGACGACUUGGGUGGAGACGAGGAGAGAAUUCAAAACUGGAGGGUAACCUGGUCAUUUCGCUGCUUUUUCACCUGGUCGGAAAAAAACCCCAGCGUCAUGUAUUUCGGAACGGAGGGAGUAGUAAUCACACUAAGAAAAUCCACUACGAAUUACAGAGUAAAUACAAUGAUGAGAUAGAGUAA
Molecule: ribosomal RNA, 564 nt
Filed under: Triticum aestivum (bread wheat)
Lineage: Eukaryota; Viridiplantae; Streptophyta; Magnoliopsida; Poales; Poaceae
Description: partial small subunit ribosomal RNA
Source: RNAcentral